Molecule: ribosomal RNA, 233 nt
Filed under: uncultured bacterium
Lineage: Bacteria
Description: partial 16S ribosomal RNA
Rfam family: Bacterial small subunit ribosomal RNA
Source: RNAcentral
UCCACGCCGUAAACGAUGUCAACUAGCCGUUGGGACCUUGAGGUCUCAGUGGUGCAGCUAACGCGUGAAGUUGACCGCCUGGGGAGUACGGCCGCAAGGCUAAAACUCAAAUGAAUUGACGGGGGCCCGCACAAGCGGUGGAGCAUGUGGUUUAAUUCGAUGCAACGCGAAGAACCUUACCAUCCCUUGACAUCAUCAGAACUUGUUAGAGAUAACUCGGUGCCUUCGGGAAC